RNAcentral lists this ribosomal RNA (300 nucleotides) under uncultured bacterium. RNAcentral's name for it is "bacterial SSU rRNA". It matches the Rfam family "Bacterial small subunit ribosomal RNA", at positions 339 to 636 of the family's 1533-position model. The record is from RNAcentral.
CCUCGGGACGCAGCAGUGAGGAAUAUUGGUCAAUGGGCGAGAGCCUGAACCAGCCAAGUCGCGUGAGGGAAGACGGUCCUAUGGAUUGUAAACCUCUUUUGCCGGGGAGCAAAAAGCGGUACGUGUACCGCAUCGAGAGUACCCGGAGAAAAAGCAUCGGCUAACUCCGUGCCAGCAGCCGCGGUAAUACGUAGGGUGCGAGCGUUAAUCGGAAUUACUGGGCGUAAAGGGUGCGCAGGCGGUUGAGUAAGACAGAUGUGAAAUCCCCGAGCUUAACUCGGGAAUGGCAUAUGUGACUGC